GGGGCAUGUCUAAGUAUAAGCAAUUAUACCGUGAAACUGCGAAUGGCUCAUUAAAUCAGUUAUCGUUUAUUUGAUAGUACCUUACUACUUGGAUAACCGUGGUAAUUCUAGAGCUAAUACAUGCUAAAAACCCCAACUUCGGGAGGGGUGUAUUUAUUAGAUAAAAAACCAAUGCCCUUCGGGGCUCCUUGGUGAUUCAUAAUAACUUAACGGAUCGCAUGGCCUUGCGCCGGCGACGGUUCAUUCAAAUUUCUGCCCUAUCAACUUUCGAUGGUAAGGUAUUGGCUUACCAUGGUUUCAACGGGUAACGGGGAAUUAGGGUUCGAUUCCGGAGAGGGAGCCUGAGAAACGGCUACCACAUCCAAGGAAGGCAGCAGGCGCGCAAAUUACCCAAUCCCGACACGGGGAGGUAGUGACAAUAAAUACUGAUACAGGGCUCUUUUGGGUCUUGUAAUCGGAAUGAGUACAAUUUAAACCCCUUAACGAGGAACAAUUGGAGGGCAAGUCUGGUGCCAGCAGCCGCGGUAAUUCCAGCUCCAAUAGCGUAUAUUAAAGUUGUUGCAGUUAAAAAGCUCGUAGUUGAACCUUGGGCCUGGCUGGCCGGUCCGCCUCACCGCGUGUACUGGUCCGGCCGGGCCUUUCCUUCUGGAGAUCCUCAUGCCCUUCACUGGGUGUGUUGGGGAACCAGGACUUUUACUGUGAACAAAUUAGAGUGUUCAAAGCAGGCCUUUGCUCGAAUACAUUAGCAUGGAAUAAUAGAAUAGGACGUGCGGUCCUAUUUUGUUGGUUUCUAGGACCGCCGUAAUGAUUAAUAGGGAUAGUCGGGGGCAUCAGUAUUCAAUUGUCAGAGGUGAAAUUCUUGGAUUUAUUGAAGACUAACUACUGCGAAAGCAUUUGCCAAGGAUGUUUUCAUUAAUCAGUGAACGAAAGUUAGGGGAUCGAAGACGAUCAGAUACCGUCGUAGUCUUAACCGUAAACUAUGCCGACUAGGGAUCGGGCGAUGUUUCUAUCUUGACUCGCUCGGCACCUUACGAGAAAUCAAAGUUUUGGG
RNAcentral lists this ribosomal RNA (1051 nucleotides) under Nigrograna asexualis. RNAcentral describes it as "SSU rRNA". It matches the Rfam family "Eukaryotic small subunit ribosomal RNA", at positions 51 to 1110 of the family's 1831-position model. Lineage: Eukaryota; Fungi; Ascomycota; Dothideomycetes; Pleosporales; Nigrogranaceae. The record is from RNAcentral.